This 496-nucleotide ribosomal RNA is filed under the name uncultured bacterium. Its description in RNAcentral is "partial 16S ribosomal RNA". It matches the Rfam family "Bacterial small subunit ribosomal RNA", at positions 29 to 507 of the family's 1533-position model. The record is from RNAcentral.
AUGAACGCUGGCGGCGUGCCUAAUACAUGCAAGUCGAGCGAACAGACGAGGAGCUUGCUUCUCUGACGUUAGCGGCGGACGGGUGAGUAACACGUGGAUAACCUACCUAUAAGACUGGGAUAACUUCGGGAAACCGGAGCUAAUACCGGAUAAUAUAUUGAACCGCAUGGUUCAAUAGUGAAAGACGGUUUUGCUGUCACUUAUAGAUGGAUCCGCGCCGCAUUAGCUAGUUGGUAAGGUAACGGCUUACCAAGGCAACGAUGCGUAGCCGACCUGAGAGGGUGAUCGGCCACACUGGAACUGAGACACGGUCCAGACUCCUACGGGAGGCAGCAGUAGGGAAUCUUCCGCAAUGGGCGAAAGCCUGACGGAGCAACGCCGCGUGAGUGAUGAAGGUCUUCGGAUCGUAAAACUCUGUUAUUAGGGAAGAACAAAUGUGUAAGUAACUAUGCACGUCUUGACGGUACCUAAUCAGAAAGCCACGGCUAACUACGUG